AAUGAAUUAUUUGUCCACAGAAAGAACAACAUGAUCAAGGAUGUAGAGGAGAAAUUUGUCUAUCCAUCUGAGACAAAGCAGCUUACACGAGACUGGGUCCUAAUGACUGUUUGCAAAAGAUGGAGAGCCUACAAAUCUUGCUUGAAGAAAAAAUAUUUCAAACGAAAAGAGAGGUCUCUCCAGGAAAUUAUUAGUGAUGUUCCAAUAGGUGUUAAUAAGCAUCAAUGGGAGACUCUAGUUGGAAUGUGGUGCCAGGAUUCACACAUGUUAUGCGAGAAAAAUACAGAGUGUGCGAAGCAACAGAAGAAUCCACACACAACCGGGAGAAAAAGC
RNAcentral lists this ribosomal RNA (333 nucleotides) under Triticum aestivum (bread wheat). RNAcentral's name for it is "partial small subunit ribosomal RNA". The record is from RNAcentral. Lineage: Eukaryota; Viridiplantae; Streptophyta; Magnoliopsida; Poales; Poaceae.